GUCAGUACCAUGUUGAAGAAUGCUGUGAUGUAUGUGACAAGAUAACAGUAUAUUCAAACACACAAAUACAUGCAUACACAUCCACAUGCAGAGUUAGAAUGCAGCACCUAGCAUGAAUAUAAAUCAAUGUAAUGGAACAAGACAAGAAUGGUAAUUGUCAUCAUGAAAGGCUUGAAACAAAGGAAUUCCAGAAACUGUCCAUUAUGUCGAUGGCUUGAACUUUAAUAUUUGAGUCCAUUCCCAGUGACAAAUUCAUAUUUCUUUUCUUGAAAAGCUAUUCAUGAAAAACUCAUAUAUAUGGUUAUAUUUUUCCUCAUUAGGAAAUCUUAAUCAUUUUUAUUAAAUGAUAGAGCCCAAAAAUUUUUCAAGAGAAAUUUUUGCAUACAGGAAGGAUUAAUAUCUUUAAUUAUUGCAUGUAUGCGUGUGUGAAUCUAAAACUAUUGAAAUGACCAAAUAAAAUCUUGGCAACAUCAUUAUUUACUAAUCAAGAGAAAA
RNAcentral lists this unclassified non-coding RNA (495 nucleotides) under Hevea brasiliensis (rubber tree). The record is from RNAcentral. Lineage: Eukaryota; Viridiplantae; Streptophyta; Magnoliopsida; Malpighiales; Euphorbiaceae.